RNAcentral lists this ribosomal RNA (301 nucleotides) under uncultured bacterium. RNAcentral's name for it is "partial 16S ribosomal RNA". It matches the Rfam family "Bacterial small subunit ribosomal RNA", at positions 509 to 807 of the family's 1533-position model. The record is from RNAcentral.
CAGCCGCCGCGGGAAUACGGAGGGGGCUAGCGUUGUUCGGAAUUACUGGGCGUAAAGCGUACGUAGGCGGUUUUGUAAGUUAGAGGUGAAAGCCCGGAGCUCAACUCCGGAAUUGCCUUUAAGACUGCAUCACUUGAAUCGUGGAGAGGUGAGUGGAAUUCCGAGUGUAGAGGUGAAAUUCGUAGAUAUUCGGAAGAGCACCAGUGGCGAAGGCGGCUCACUGGACACGUAAUGACGCUGAGGUACGAAAGCGUGGGGAGCAAACAGGAUUAGAUACCCCUGUAGUCCCUGUCUCUUAUAC